RNAcentral lists this ribosomal RNA (433 nucleotides) under uncultured bacterium. RNAcentral describes it as "bacterial SSU rRNA". It matches the Rfam family "Bacterial small subunit ribosomal RNA", at positions 11 to 429 of the family's 1533-position model. The record is from RNAcentral.
GUUUGAUCCUGGCUCAGAGCGAACGUUAGCGGCAGGCUUAACACAUGCAAGUCGAGCGAGAAAGGGGCUUCGGCUCCGAGUAAAGCGGCGGACGGGUGCGUAACACGUGGAUAAUCUGCCUCGUGGCGGGGGACAACAGUCCGAAAGGACUGCUAAUACCGCAUGUCAGGUCGGAAACUCCGGUUUCUGACGAAAAAGAGGGCGUCCGCAAGGAGCUCUCACCACGAGAUGAGUCCGCGUCCCAUCAGCUAGUUGGCGGUGUAAUGGACCACCCAAAGGCUUAGACGGGUAGCUGGUCUGAGAGGAUGACCAGCCACACUGGGACUGAGACACGGCCCCAGACUCCUACGGGAGGCAGCAGUGGGGAAUAUUGGACAAUGGGGAAACCUGACGCAGCAACGCCGACGUGUGUGAUGAAGGCCUCGGUCGUAAG